ACAACUCAUGCCUCUUGUCCUGGCCUGUUCCUCCAGUCUCUACAGCUGUCACUGAAGUUCAAUCUCCAUUAACAAGUUGUGUUUGUGCUCCCAUGCUCCUGUAUUUAUAAUCAUCUGGCAGAGGCAUAAUAGAUCAGAGGUUAAGAAGCACAGCCUUUGGCAUUAGAAAAACCAAGAUUCAAGGUUCAAUCCUGCUACAUAAAAGCUGUGUAACUUCAGAGUCAUAGGUCGAGAACUUAAAGAAUACCUCACCAUAUCUCUUCACAUAUCCAUGAAGAAACUGAGGUGCAAAGAAGUUAAGUGAUAAACCUGAAGCCACACAGCCAGUUAAAGUUAAGACUUCUAAUAAAAUCCCAAUGGUUAACUUCAGGACCAUAACCAAAGGUAUCCUAGUUGCUACGGGGGGCAACCUUCCACAGGCUACAAUUGCUAUUAAUCCAGACCCAUGUGCACAGCUUCCUUGUGAUUCCCUACACCUUUUUAUGAGAACGUAAUCUCAACUGCCGGAAGUUGCCCUGUUGACCCUGAAAAGGCUGCCAAGUGGGUGUCCCGGAAGCCUACUGAGUACAAGUUUAAUAUUUUCUGUUAAGCAACUCACAGCAUUUAAGCCGCAGUUGUGGAAAUUCUCAAGAAAGCUCAUUCUGUAUGAAUCAAAUUUCUGAAGCGAUUCUCUUCCAGGGAACUGCAAUCAAUCCUGUCCGGACUUCACUUUACAUAGCUCAUUUUUUGAGCCUUCAUCAUACACAACAUUCACUGCAAAAGAUCCAAGGGAGCCACACUUUCUGAAGGAUGCUAUUGUUGCUCAACUGGCAAACUCAAAUUUGGUUUGAAGAGCAUAAGUUUUAAUUUUCUAGGUUAAAACUUAUUUUUCUUCUCAAGUUCCAUUUAUCAAAGAAAUCGUUUUGUUUUGUUUGUUUAAUCGAAUAACAUCGCAAGUGCAGAAGACUUAGCUGGGAUGGAGGUUGGGGGAGUGUCCUUGCCUGUUUCAGGGAACCAAUAAAGGACAUCUCAAAAACCAAACACAGUACUUAUGAUGUGCCAGGCACUCUUCUGAGGGCUUUACACGAUGUAACUCAUUUAAUCUUGAGAAAACCCCUAAGAGGUAGAUAUUGACAUCAUCCCAUUUUAUAGAUGAGAAUCUGAGGAACAAAUACGUUAGGUAACUGGCCCAAAGUCAUUGUAGCUAAUAAGUCACAAAGCUGGGAGUAUGAACCCGGCAGUUUGUGUUUUUACCACUGUGCUCCACCUAACAUACGUAAUUUGAGAAAAAAAAAAUUAAAACAACCUUUUAGCCUCCAUUUUCUAAGCAUCUCAAGUUAAAGUAGUUGGGGUCUGAGAAAAGUAUUCAGAUAACUGACCCACUAGCUAAAGACUCAGCCAUGUAAUCAUCCAAUAAUUUUCACAAUUUACAGCUUCACAGUUUUACAAAAAAAGAGUCCAAUGUGUGAGCAAAUUUAUAAGCUGCUUAAUCUUGAUUAAAAAAACAAUUAAUUCACUAGCUACCUGUUAUGUGCCAGGCUCUGGAACAAUGCCACGAAUUAGACAUGGCUACUCUAAAAAUUCUCUGUGGAAACAAUAUUUGGACAUAGGAAAAAAAUGUAACAACAAAGGCAAUGAAUGAUUUAUAUCAAACUGAUAGGCUGACAAUAAAUGAAAAAAAACUCUUCUAGAAAUAAUUUGUGCAUUUAGCAUUCCAAAUAUUAAAGAAUAUAAAAACAUCUUAGAAUAACUAAAAGAAAAUGUGAAUUUGUAUUUUUUACUAUAAUUGUGGUGAUAUUUCUUUUCAAAUAUUGUUAUAAUCAAAUGAACACUUUACUAGAUAUCUACUCCAAUUAAAACACUUUGAUAAUGCUUUGUAAAGAAUUGUGAAUUGAAUACCAGAUAAUUAUUUCCUUUGUUACUCAAUAACAACUUCUAUUAAAGUUUUUAUGCUAGUGGGAAUGUAAACUAAUACAACCACUAUGGAAGAC
RNAcentral lists this long non-coding RNA (1970 nucleotides) under Homo sapiens (human). RNAcentral's name for it is "HSALNT0326204". Lineage: Eukaryota; Metazoa; Chordata; Mammalia; Primates; Hominidae. The record is from RNAcentral.